This 97-nucleotide transfer RNA is filed under the name Comamonas terrigena. RNAcentral's name for it is "tRNA-Thr(ggt)". The record is from RNAcentral. Lineage: Bacteria; Pseudomonadati; Pseudomonadota; Betaproteobacteria; Burkholderiales; Comamonadaceae. RNAcentral also lists the same sequence under 1 other name.
CGGCCAGCGGCGACAGGGUUUCGCCGGUUUCGGCGUCGGUGCCGCCCAGCGGCACGUCCAGCAUGGGCAGCCCGGGGUUCAGGCCCUGGCUGGCCGG